GAUAUCUGUGGUAAUUACUAGAGCUAAUACAUGCCGACGGAGCCCCGAACGGUCGCGCGAGUUCGCUCUGCGCGUACGGGAGGGGCGCUUUUAUUAGAUCAAAACCGGCCAGGCGACGUUUACGCGUCGUCAGUGGCCCGCGCAUAGAUUUGGCGAUUCUGAAUAACUUUGAGCUGAUCGCACGGUCCUCGUACCGGCGACGUAUCUUUCAAAUGUCUGCCUUAUCAACUGUCGACGGUAGGUUCGACGCCUACCGUGGUGGUAACGGGUAACGGGGAAUCAGGGUUCGAUUCCGGAGAGGGAGCCUGAGAAACGGCUACCACAUCC
Molecule: ribosomal RNA, 327 nt
Filed under: Matsucoccus matsumurae
Lineage: Eukaryota; Metazoa; Arthropoda; Insecta; Hemiptera; Margarodidae
Description: SSU rRNA
Rfam family: Eukaryotic small subunit ribosomal RNA
Source: RNAcentral